RNAcentral lists this unclassified non-coding RNA (474 nucleotides) under Trichuris cutillasae. RNAcentral's name for it is "sequence contains ITS1". Lineage: Eukaryota; Metazoa; Nematoda; Enoplea; Trichinellida; Trichuridae. The record is from RNAcentral.
AUUGAUUGCAACUUGAGGGCGACGACGGAUGCUGCGUUUGCGUCCCGUUGGUUGUCGUCCAAAGUUUGCUUCUUUUCGAAAGCAAUGAAAAUGUCUCCCCUGCCGAUGCUGCGGCAGGAGACUGCUUGUCGUCAUUUCUGGCUUCAAGCAUUCAUUGCAACGCAUGAUCUCCAGAUCUCGUGCGCCAGUGGUCGGAUGCGCAAAACGCGGCAUGCGCUUCCACCGAGGAGCAAUGAUGCACACUUUAAACUCCGGUACCUGUACCGCUUGGGCAUGGCAGUUUGGAUCUGGCUGUCGAUUGAUGCCGCCGGUUGUAGCGUCUGAAUUGCCGCACUAGCCUGCGUUUGGCUGUUUCGGCGGCUCCAUUCAGAGCGCGAGGUUCAAAGAACGGUCGCUUUUGACGGUCGCCGGAUGGUCGUCCAUGCGUUUUGGACAUUUACGAAAAACUGUUCGAACGAACAUAGAAAUUCGGUU